This is a long non-coding RNA of Otolemur garnettii (small-eared galago), 671 nucleotides long. RefSeq lists it as uncharacterized. NCBI's taxonomy places the organism in Eukaryota, Metazoa, Chordata, Mammalia, Primates, Galagidae. The transcript has 2 exons. The record is from RefSeq and is a predicted model, not a curated record.
AACCCGCCGCAGCGGCGCGCCCUGGCAGAGCGCUUCCCCUUCCGGCAGGAAGCCGCGGAGCAGGUUUGGGGUCGCAGUUUAAGGAAGGACUGCGCUCUGUUUCCGCCGGUUUUAUCUCAAAGAAACUUCCGGUGGCAGAGUCUUCUGCGCUCUACCUUCUGUUUGUUGGGUUCCAACAAGAUGUGAACGCGAGUUGAUCAAAUUCCGCAGAGUAUUCUUUUCUCUCCUCGUGGUAGAUUGGCCGGUAGGAGAAGAGGCCCGGUUGGAAGCGGCCCUGAGCCGGGCCUUACGUCGUGCUCUGCCUAUAAAAGACAAUUCUCUCGCUGGCGGAGGGCAAGAACUCCCUCCCAGUCACACCGCCUCGUUCAUUUCGUUCAUCUCUGUCGCACUGUCCUCUGACCCGCUUGUGUCCUUACAUCAAACCGAGGACCCUGCAGGAGUUUUAAGUGCCGAGCACGUUUCAAGCCUCUGCCCCUGAGAUUAAUAUGACGGUACAACCAGGUUGCAUUGUUUGCGUUUGCUGGGUAUCGUCUCUGUUAUAGUAGUGCCGGUCACCCAGGUGUGCCAUAUACCCUUACGCCUAUGAGGUGAAACACACCAGUCACCCUUCCUCUUCCUUCCUCACCCCUAACUUGAAUGGAAUUAAAUUGAGUUUUUCUCUUGUUUGGGCA